RNAcentral lists this ribosomal RNA (102 nucleotides) under uncultured bacterium. RNAcentral's name for it is "partial 16S ribosomal RNA". It matches the Rfam family "Bacterial small subunit ribosomal RNA", at positions 355 to 456 of the family's 1533-position model. The record is from RNAcentral.
UAGGGAAUUUUCGUCAAUGGGCGCAAGCCUGAACGAGCAAUGCCGCGUGAGUGAGGAAGGUCUUCGGAUCGUAAAGCUCUGUUGCAGGUCAGAAAAGAAGGG